Molecule: ribosomal RNA, 120 nt
Filed under: Petromyzon marinus (sea lamprey)
Lineage: Eukaryota; Metazoa; Chordata; Hyperoartia; Petromyzontiformes; Petromyzontidae
Source: RNAcentral
GCCCGUGACCAAAUCACCCGGAUCACGCUGGAUCUAUUCCAAUCUGGGAAGCUAAUCGGGGUUGAGGCUGGAUAGUGCUUGGAUGGGUGACCGCCACGAAUAAAACGGGCGGUGUAGCUU